GCUAAUACCGGAUGAUGACGUAAGUCCAAAGAUUUAUCACCCAAGGAUGAGCCCGCGUAGGAUUAGCUAGUUGGUGGGGUAAAGGCCCACCAAGGCGACGAUCCUUAGCUGGUCUGAGAGGAUGAUCAGCCACACUGGGACUGAGACACGGCCCAGACUCCUACGGGAGGCAGCAGUGGGGAAUAUUGGACAAUGGGCGAAAGCCUGAUCCAGCAAUGCCGCGUGAGUGAUGAAGGCCUUAGGGUUGUAAAGCUCUUUUACCCGGGAUGAUAAUGACAGUACCGGGAGAAUAAGCUCCGGCUAACUCCGUGCCAGCAGCCGCGGUAAUACGGAGGGAGCUAGCGUUGUUCGGAAUUACUGGGCGUAAAGCGCACGUAGGCGGCUUUGUAAGUUAGAGGUGAAAGCCUGGAGCUCAACUCCAGAAUUGCCUUUAAGACUGCAUCGCUCGAAUCCAGGAGAGGUGAGUGGAAUUCCGAGUGUAGAGGUGAAAUUCGUAGAUAUUCGGAAGAACACCAGUGGCGAAGGCGGCUC
Molecule: ribosomal RNA, 531 nt
Filed under: alpha proteobacterium X7
Lineage: Bacteria; Pseudomonadati; Pseudomonadota; Alphaproteobacteria
Description: bacterial SSU rRNA
Rfam family: Bacterial small subunit ribosomal RNA
Source: RNAcentral